UUUGGCGCGUCACGACAAAAACCCUACAUGAAAUCGCACGCCGUCCGCCUCUCUUCGCGAGAUCGGGAGAGGCGAUGGGAUCCGGCGAAAAGGAAGCGAGCGACCUCUCUGAUUCUUCCGUUCCAUUUGAUUUCUUUGCCAAACAGAACGCCUCCAGUUCCCUCCCGUUUCCGGUGCCCGAGCUGCUCCCUCGACUUCUUCCAGUUGCAGAUGAUUCUUUCUCUUCGCCUUCUCGUAUCGUUAGGAAACAAUUACUGAACUGGGAGAUUGAAAAGAAGCCAUAUAUGAAGCAGUUGCAUGGUUAAUCAUUAACUUGCUUAUUGUGGGAAGCCAUUGGUAAAGGAGCCAUACAGAGGUGCCUCUCUAGACAAUUUUGGUAUGGAAUAGAAAGUCCAUGUUUCACGUUUGGAUGAUCUGAACUCCAUUGCUGAGCGGUGUAGCUAGGCAAUGUUCUCCAGCUGACAAAAGUCAAUAGUGUUUCACAGUGGUCAGAUCGACUGCAUUAUCAAGGUGUGAUUGAGAUAGGAAGAGAAAGGAGAAAAGAAGAAUUAGAAAGAAAGAAGAAACUCUCCAGUUAUUCUAUCAAUCCACAGGUACAUCGUUCUCAUGUUGUUUUCAUUGUUUCUUAUAGAUGUGGCAGUUCAUAUUAGUCUUUAAAUGCGAUUCUUAUUUUCUUUCUUUGCCAUAAGAUGAUGUUGCUCUGUUAUUAUGUCAUUAAACAGUGGAUGUUAGGUUUUUGUUUCUUUCAGCAACACCAUAA
This is a long non-coding RNA of Musa acuminata AAA Group (dessert banana), 760 nucleotides long. RefSeq lists it as uncharacterized. The transcript is spliced from 3 exons. Lineage: Eukaryota; Viridiplantae; Streptophyta; Magnoliopsida; Zingiberales; Musaceae. The record is from RefSeq and is a predicted model, not a curated record.